CACUCCUUUUUAGCCAAGCAUUCACAAAACACAUGUCAUAACCUUGUACUCCAUUGAUGAAAUAGUAAAAAGUGCUCAUGAUAAUUUUUUGCCUGAAAUAUUAUGAACAGCAGCUAUGCUAAUCUUUCUCCCUUUGCCUUCCUGUUUCUCCAAAUGUCCAUCCCAGGGUUAUUAGAAACUGCACAGCACCAGGACUUGUGAGGACUUCAGAUGAUGCCAAUACUCAAAAAGACCUUAGAUGAUGGCAACUAUAGAUGGACAUACAAACUACCGCCACUGCAACAGACCAGGAAGUCGAACACUGGAUUAAAAGAUGGCUGCAGCUUGCCAGAGAUGGGAUGGAGGCCAGGAGAGAAGAUUUAAAGGUUGUUGGUAUCGGACUGCUUUUUGGCUCUGACCCUCGCUUGCCCCUGACCUCGUGUCUGAAUUACCCUCUGGAUUGAUGUUUUCUUUGGACUGCUUUCUAGUUUUGACCCCUGCCUGUUUCAUGGACUCCCGUUUUGCCUUGCUCAUGGUUAGUUAGCUAGUUAUCGAACUGUUGAUUUGAAUUCUCCAUUUCUUUGACUCCUCUUGCAGAAAUGUGUUGUGCUCCUCUGGUUAACAAUGUAGCAGUCCAGUGAGAAUAGUUGAAUGUAUAUACUUUAUUGGAAUUCUGUAUGUAUCUGUUAUAGGGCUGUGUGAUUAAUCGAAAUCGAAUCACAAUCACGAUUUGAGACGUUGCGAUUUGCUAAUUGCAAAACCUGCGUUGUGGACGCAAUAUUACUCUUCCAGAGCAUAUGCAUGACUGCCAGCCUUGUGUGGCAGUCUUACUAACCAAUAGAAUGAGCGCACCUCCAUUCUCCCCAAUCGGCACUGCUCUAACCAACUGCGUAAACACCCUCCAUUAAAAAAAAA
Molecule: long non-coding RNA, 894 nt
Organism: Sinocyclocheilus grahami
Lineage: Eukaryota; Metazoa; Chordata; Actinopteri; Cypriniformes; Cyprinidae
Exons: 2
Source: RefSeq, a predicted model, not a curated record